GACGAACGCUGGCGGCGUGCUUAACACAUGCAAGUCGAACGGUGAAGCGCCUUCCUUUUUGGUGGGUGUGGAUGAGUGGCGAACGGGUGAGUAACACGUGGGUAACCUGCCCCCUUCUUCUGGAUAACCGCAUGAAAGUGUGGCUAAUACGGGAUAUUCUGGGUCUGUCGCAUGAUGGGUCUGGGAAAGAUAUUGUUUCGGUGGGGGAUGGGCUCGCGGCCUAUCAGCUUGUUGGUGGGGUGAUGGCCUACCAAGGCGGUGACGGGUAGCCGGCCUGAGAGGGUGGACGGUCACACUGGGACUGAGACACGGCCCAGACUCCUACGGGAGGCAGCAGUGGGGAAUAGUGCACAAUGGGCGCAAGCCUGAUGCAGCGACGCCGCGUGAGGGAUGGAGGCCUUCGGGUUGUGAACCUCUUUCGCCAGUGAAGCAGGCCUGCCUCGUUUGUGGGUGGGUUGACGGUAGCUGGAUAAGAAGCGCCGGCUAACUACGUG
Molecule: ribosomal RNA, 494 nt
Filed under: uncultured bacterium
Lineage: Bacteria
Description: partial 16S ribosomal RNA
Rfam family: Bacterial small subunit ribosomal RNA
Source: RNAcentral